AUUCUAGGGACAUGUAGUUGUUCUUAUAAUUUUGUUGAUCAGUGAGAAUUGGUACUGAUGCUUAUGACCUUCUAUUUCUAUGUAUGAGAUCUAGCCAAACCUGUCAUUUAUAUAUUGUACUUGCUGAAUAGUGUUCAGUUUUCAGUCCCUGUUUUAGCUCUAGUACCCGUGACAUAUAUGUUCAUGAUAUAUGUUUCAUGUGGUUUCGUAUUGCUGUUAUGUUGAUCAUUUUAGUGCUAGUACUGUGUCUUGUGUAAUCCAAACCAUAUAUGAUUUGUGUGUGUGACUAAUUGUCAGCUAGUAGCUUUUAAUAAUUCAUAUUGUUUCUUGUGAAUUUUCUAUCGAUGUUACUCUCUGUAGAAGUGAGAUGUAUGAACAUUUAAUUUCCUGUCUCCGUGUUAACGAUGUUUGUGUGAAUAAAUAUAUAUGUUUGUGUUGUGAUAUAUUUCUGUCCCUUUCACAGUAUUGUUCCUUCCCUUUUGUUACAUGUAUGAUAGUAAUAUAUGUGUUCAUGUCUUGUUGCUUCCCUCUAUGUUAGUGUUUUAGCGUCUCAAUUAAAACAAAAAUACCAAAAAUAAGUGAAGUGAAAUCUGAACCUCCCUCUGCUAUUUUGCAUUUUCUUUUGUCAACGAUCUUCCGGAACAACCUUGUUAGUUUAGAUUUUAUUUUCUUGCAAUCAUCUUCUGAAUUGUCACCUAGCUUUAGUCGAGUGCCGUCGCUGUUUGCCUAGUCCCUGUGGAGAACACGACAUUCGUAGUUUGGGGCGUAAAACCCCCGCUAUAUUACAAUUGAUCAUUUUGGCGCCGUUGUCGGGACUAGCGUCGAGCGAUUGUGCUAGGCUAUAGACUAGGUUUUUCUUGUUUUCAUCUUGUGCCAUAUAUUUGUGAUAUAUCUCUAGCCACUAACCCCUGUUCUAGUUAUUAUCUUUUUGUCUUCUUUUCCUUUUUGCAGGUUGGAUUAUCCUCUCGGAAAUGGCAUUCUAUUCAGAUCAUCAUGCUUAUGCGAGCAACACUACAAACAACACAGAAAGUAUUCAAGAACUGAUAAGUAAGAUUUCCCAUCAAUUAGAUGAUUUAGCUCGGCAGCGAGAGGUAGUUUUUGAGGAUAGGCCUAGCUCUUAUGCUCCUUAUUCUAGAGGUAAUCCUUAUGUUGCUCCUACAUGCCAUAUUUGUGGAUCUCAGGGCCAUUCACCCGCUGAAUGUCAGCGUGGUUACUCUCACCCUCCCGAUUGUUAUGGCAUGAGCUUCGCCCCACAGCCUAGCUCAUACCAAAACAAUUACACACAUGGGUGGCCUGAAAACCAGAAUAUGUCAUAUAGGAGCAAUAACCCUGAGAUCUCAUCGUUUGCCUCUAGUUAUCCAAUGCAGGGAUUUAGGUAUGAAGAGGAGAGCCACAACUAUGCUCCACAACAGAUUUAUUCAGCUCCUACUCAUAUACCUCAACAUCAGGACAUGUUGCCAAUGGAGUUAAAUGGUCCUCCAUUUGGUCAACCAACAUCUUCAACACAAGUGCCCACACAAGAUGACUUUGAUGAUAUAGACAAGCUCACAUUGCUUGGUCUCGAGUUCACUUCGAGUGCCGAAGAUGAUCCAAUUAGGCCGGUGAUACUAGAGGAAAUGAAGAAGAUUAAGAGUGGAAAGGAGCUAGUGGAAGAAGUAAGGAAGAUUGAGAAGAACAUCAACGCUGUCAGUACUAUCUCUUCCCUCCUUGAGCUGAGUGUUGCCGGGAUAUCCCUUGAGGUGUGUGAGGUUCCAACACCUUCACAUUUAGCUGAGCAAGAUAGCGAGAGUCCAUAGGAAGAGAUACUUCAGAUCCAAGAAGAAAUUCUCGAAGCCAAAGCACAAGAUGAUCCAGAGCUCGAAUAACAAAGUGAUCAAGUUGAAGACUCAUCAUCUAUUACUCUUGAAGAAGCAAAAGAAGUUGAUGUGAUUGAAGAUGAAGAACCAGAAACGCAUUUUCCCAUCGUCAUACAGGAGCGUGAUUUAGCAGGUUUAUCCAAUCCUCUUGAUGACAUGCUUCCUUAUGAGAUCUUUGCCGCUACUUUACAUUGUGUUAUACCAUCAAUUAAGCUAGACUUGAAAAAUUAUUUGCUUGGACAUGAUCAUACAUACAUUGUUGGUGGCAUUGCUCUCAUUCCUGAUGAUGACACUUAUUUUCCUUAUGCUAGUCCUAUGCUUAAUGAAACAUAUUAUUCCCACGCUAGUCUUGAGCUUAAUGAUAAAUUUCAUCCUCAUGUUAGUGUCGACCUUGCUGAUUUCUACCAUCCUAAACAUGUGCUUUAUAGCUAUGCUUAUGUAAUUGGAUAUUCGAUUGAUGACUUGGAGGGUAUUAUCCCUACCACUUGCAUUGUCUCUUUUGUUGAGAGUGCUUUCAGGUUUUUGCUUGUGCACGAUCCAUUACAUGUUGACCAGGUUCGAGGUGACAUUCCUUGGGACCCUGGUGGACUCAGAGCAUGGGGAUGAGGAGAAGCAAGGGGGCACACACGAGGAAUGGAGAAGCUGGAGCAGGCAUGAGGAUAGGGAAGCAAAAGGAGAGGAGUCACAAUGCAUGAGGAAGCAAAGGAGAAGAGUUGUAGUUUAGAGAGUGUCGAGCGAGUGCUACUUCCUAUAAAAACCCGGUGAGCUGUUUCAUGACCCGAAUCUUAAUAUAUCAUCCAUUGAUACAUGCUGAAAUCAUUUGAUAUUUGGGUUGCUUGAGCCAUUUCUUAAAUGUCGUCCCACUGAAUUUUACCUUUGACAUAUGAUGCUUGAUGUGAAUAUGUGAAGUGAGUGUUGAAUGCCUCGUAACCUAGUGAUCUACAUAAUGCUUGCUUUGCUGAAAUUAGUGAAAGCUAUUAGUUUUGAGUGCUCAAAUCCCUAGUGCACUAGAAAACUUAAUCAUUUUCUACUUUUACCUCGAUACACCUAGAUCAUUAAGUGUCAGAUGCUGAGUUUGUGCCUAAUGUGUUCCCAUUGAGAGCAAUCACCUAACCACUAUGGAUUAGCAUGCUAUGUUCCCUGGAUCGGUAGCAUGUGAACCAGACAUGGAGAAGUGAUGAUUCCUAUUUUUGUGCUUAAGCGUUGUUCAUUUAAGAUAAGUAAUAAUGAAUAAAUAAGUCUGACUACCUACAGUAGCAUGUCAUGUUCCCGGGAUCGGUGGCAUGUGAAAUCGGGUUAGCUUGGGCAGUAAUUAAUAAUAAAAAAUGUAAUUGUCGAACCAGGUGUAUACCAUGUUCUCGGGAUCGGUGGUAUGUUCCUUUGGGGAGACAAACAAACUAAAAAAACUAAUAAUUGGUUGAGCCAGGUGUAUACCAUGUUCUCGGGAUCGGUGGUAUGUUCCUUUGGUGAGACUGAUAAAAUAUUAUCAUUACUUACUUCAAAUUUAAUAAGUGGUUCAACCACAAAGUUAUAUUUCUGCAAAUAAGAGAUUUAAUUCCAGUUCUUUUUGUUCUCGGGAUCAUGCUCUCUUUAGGAACCAUUUGGCGCAGUCAUCAUUUGAACUUGCUAAUCUUCGUUUAUCAUUGCAAAAGUUUAAAAUGGCCGAGUUUAAUAGUGUCCUAUUGAUAUGUAGCACUCUUAACCAUUAAUUUUCACUAGCCAAGUCCAAAGCAUGCAUUGUUUGGAGAUCUACUUCACUUGGACAUUCUCUAGUCAGCUCACUGUUCACUAUCUAGCUCUUGUCGUAUGCCUUUGCUUGAGGACAAGCAAAGAUUUAUGUGUGGGGGAACUUGAUAGAGCAUUUCUUCAUAUAAUCUUUUUAGCCUUUUUGCAUCCUAUUGUAAUCAUAUUUUCACAUUAUUUACUUAAGAAAUACUCCAAUACCCCCAUUAUGCUACAUUUACAACACUCCUCCAUGUUUUGCAGAAAAGGGUGAAAAGGCCCAAAAUCCUUCUAUAAUGGAGAGAGUGUCAAGAAACUGUGGUUGCUCUAAUUCACGGAGGGACCCGGCCGUGAAGAAAAGAAGUAACCAUAGGGGCCAAGCUAAAGUUGGAGGGAUCAUCUUGUGAAGAAAGAAGAGAAGUGGAAGGGCAAAAGAGCAAAAGUGGCAGAUCAGAGGAGGAGGAUCAAAUCCCUAGCGGCAACCAUCGAUCCCCUUCGGGCCUGGCCACAUCUCCUUCUCUUUCCCCUGCCUCCUUCUCCAGCACAGGCCGCCGCCACGGCCAGGCUGGCGUGGGGCGCGCCACCAGCUCCACUUCGCCGCCGCACCUCCGCACUCCAUCCAUCCAUUCGCUGCACCGUGACCCAUCCACCAUAACUACCACGAGUCCCUUGCUGCACCUCACGCCACCAAUCUGAAUCUCUUCUUCCUUCUUGCUGCUGUUCAUCCCAAUCUCGCCGCUGUUCAUCUUUGCUACUGCCCGCAGCUCUCUUCGUCUCUCUCAAACUUGUUGAUGUCGAUGCCCUCAACCUCCUGCUGCUCCUCUCUCCUUGCGCCCCUGCUGUUGCCCCUUCUACCCCUACCUUGCUGCUGCUCUGCUUCUUUUCCAUCCCCACGUUGCUGCUGCUCCUUCUCUCUAUGCCCAUGCUGCUGCUUCUUUCCCAAUCUUGCAAUUGCCCUUCUGCAUCUCCAACUUGCUGCUGCUCCUCUGAACCUCUUCUCCUCCUAGUGUUGCUUCUAUCUUGCCGCUUCCCUGUAGCGGUUCCUUUCCUUCACCCGCUGCUCUCUUUGUGUGUGUGUGUGUGUUCGUGUGUGUGAGAUUGUGUGUGUUUGUACUUCAUAAGUAUUGAUAGUGUGUAAUGAAGAGAUGUGUUAAUUCCAGGGACAUGUAGUUGUUCUUAUAAUUUUGUUGAUCAGUGAGAAUUGGUAUUGUUGCUUAUGACCUUCUAUUUCUAUGUAUGAGAUCUAGCCAAACCUGUCAUUUAUAUAUUGUACUUGCUGAAUAGAGUUUAGUUUUCAGUACCUGUUUUAGCUCUAGUACUCGUGACAUAUAUGUUCGUGAUAUAUGUUUCAUGUGGUUUCGUAUUGCUGUUAUGUUGAUCAUUUUAGUGCUAGUACUGUGUCUUGUGUAAUCCAAACCAUAUAUGAUUUGUGUGUGUGACUAAUUGUCAGCUAGUAGAUUUUAAUAAUUCAUAUUGUUUCUUGUGAAUUUUCUAUCGAUGUUACUCUCUGUAGAAGUGAGAUGUAUGAACAUUUAAUUUCCAGUCUCCGUGUUAACGAUGUUUGUGUGAAUA
Molecule: long non-coding RNA, 5150 nt
Filed under: Triticum aestivum (bread wheat)
Lineage: Eukaryota; Viridiplantae; Streptophyta; Magnoliopsida; Poales; Poaceae
Description: long non-coding RNA (TAES_LNC011838)
Source: RNAcentral